CAUUUUCGUGCAAGAAUAUCCAACAUAAACUGAAAUACCAUAGCUCAGUACAAGUUAUGAGAAAAAAAAUAAUAAUAAAAACAAAAUGAAACAAUACACACAAAGUACACCCAUACCCAAUCAAUAAAUUCAUGGUAAAGCACUGUAACUGACUAUGCAGAGAAUUGUUCAAUCUCAGACACCUUAAUCAUACAAAUUUAAGGACAAUCUUCAUAGCUCAUAUCUUUACAAAGAAAUGUCAGCAAAUAAUACAAUGUAUGUAUCUAUAAACAACUCCAAACAGAAAGCAACGAUAUUUCAACCUCUGCAGAAUGUGGGUGCACACCAAUCCAACAAACUAUAACCAAAAAUUUCUCCAAUACGAAUGGCUGAUCUAUGUUGAAAGCCCCCAUGACCUCCAUAGUAAAAGAGAUAUCCCAAACCAUUAUCAAAAUUUUCCAGUAAUUUAUUUCUUUUGUACUUCAACUAUUGGAGACUUCCACCGAUCGUCCAUAUUGUUGCAGCAAGGGGGUGAAAACAACUAAGAUGAGCGAAGGGUUUGUUUUUUGCUAAUUUAGCCAGUAGAGAAGUCCUAGCUUGAAGUGUCAACUUCCUUCCCGUGGUCUUCAUCAUGAAUAUUUCCCCUUAACCUUCUUAGCCAUAUAUCGUAAUCAAUUGGAUAUGGUGUUCCACAUAGACUGUCUACAUAAUCAGCAAAUGCUUUCAACACAGUUGAGACAUCACCAAGCUUCUGCUGAAUUAAUCUCCUUGACCAAGAGGUCUCUCGCCAUUGCAGUGCCCCCUCAACUGAAUCCAUAUCAGGCAAAGGACCACCGCAGGAAAAAUAAAGCAUAUACACCAGGCUCUCUGCAUCCGAAGCUGAGCACAACUUUCCCUCUUGCAGAGCAUAAGUUGAAGAGUAGUGGAGAUUCAUGGCAGGACGAUCCCUGUCUUCAAGAAUAGCAUGACCCCAGCCAAUAAGAACGAAAAAAGGAUGCCUUGCACCAGAUCUCACACAAAUUACAUUCUCUGGCCUGAUAUCUCCAUGCCGAAUGCCAGCAGAAGAGGCAAUAGCAAGUGCUGAUAAGCAAUCAUGACAACACCUGAUAGCCUCAUCCAAACCAAACCUGCUGGCACUUACCAUAUCAGCAACUGUUUCACCAACUGGGCUGGUCACAAGAAUUGGGGUACCACACCAAGGGUGAUCACAGUUUCCACCUAAGCUGGGUUUCCGACACUGGCCAGGGUGAAUAAUCCUGCCAGAAGCACCUAACUGUGGUAGAUAUUUGCUAGAUAGACCUUUCUGUCUCAUAAUGGUCAAUAUCUUAGUCUGCCUUUGAACUUGAUACCAUAAAUUCAUAUCCUCCCAUGCUGGCUCCAGUUGAGAAGGAUGGGAACCAACAAAAAGGAAUAGGGAUUUACCUGGAUCUUCAACAGGAGAUGCAAUGUAAUACCGUAGUUCUCCAUUAUACAGGACAUCAGCAAUCUGAUAACCCCUUCGCUGGUCUGAAUCCUCCAACCAUAAUACAGACCCUACAUCCAACUUCAUUAUUAAACCUUCGGACUCGACUUUGAUGGAUUCAUCCUGAACUUCAACAAUUUCAGGAGAUCCACUACGAUGCUGAAACCGAAAGAGACCAUUUCCAUUGACUCUAGUAUCCCCUAACUGCCGUUCCACUCUUCUUGUUUGUAAGCGAGAACCAUGAUCAGCUGCUAAAUCUUCAAUUGAAUGCUUUGGCAUCCCAGCAAAUUGCAUAAUGCAGUGGAAUGUUGCAAAAAGUACCUGUAGAGCACCAAUAUCUCCCCAGUUGGCAUUUCCAAGCUUGUUCCAGAUCCUAUCAAUCGGGGAGACUGAGACUCUACAAUGUUCUUUUAUCCACUCUGCUGAACACUCAUAAACAUUUUUCACAUCAAAAUCCAUUUUAUUUACAUCUCCUUCAACUUUAACAACCCCACCAUAUUGAGAAUCAACAAGAAGAAGAAAGACACAGUUUGAAGACUCAGAAAAGCUCAAUCUGCUUAAGCUUCUUGAUAAUAGCAUGCGUACAGCAUAGAAGAGAGCCUCACCUAAAACAGAUAAUGAAGGCAGCUGAUCACUUCCCAUAGAAAGGCUUCUAAUAUCAGGCCUCAAAAGUGCCAGUUCAAGAAUUUGGUUCCAUUUUCCAUGUGGAUGUCUAGGGUUGUUCAGCAAUAUACCAGUAGCACAAAGUCCUCCAAGCUUUCCAUUAGCUAUUGCUUUCUCAGCCUGGUAGAAUUUUAAGUUUGCAUUGUAUAGACAGGCAAUGGAGAAAGGCAUGGGAUCAUCCUCACUCCAAAAUGCUUCCCACAGACCCUUCACACUUGCAUGUAGAAAAUCUUCAAUAGCAAGAUAAGCAGUUGCUUCCACAGCAUCAGACGUUGAACCAUACAUAGCAUUGGGCAUCCGAAUUAGCUGCUGAAAUGAAACCCCUUCCAAUGCAUAGUCAAACUUUUGAAGUUCUAUCAACUCAAAUGGGACAUCAAAUGCAGAUUUUUCUGCUGCUGACUUCUCCAAUAUGGAUUCAAACCAGUCCUCAAGUUUGGCAGUCAGAAUUUCACUGUCCACAAACCUAUAGAAAAACUCCUUGCGGUUACGAGACUUGCCAGAUGAUACACUAGACCUUUUUGUCCCAGAUCCUACAGAUUCUUGGUCUGGGGAUCCACCUUCCAUGAUAUGGAGUUUCAGAGCUGAAGAUCUUCUCGGUAGAUGAUGCCUUAACUGAGUACAAGACUUGAAGCUUGCGCUUUGAUAAAAAGGAAUAUAGUUUGGAUUUGCAUUCUUUUGUAUAUAUGUAUGCAAUUUUUGCUUAGGAUCGUUGGAAGAGGACUCUGCUAAACAAUGGCUAUCUUCAGCUAUAGGGAUGUUGUAGUUGUAGAUUACAGAUAAAAUACAAGUAGUGCGUGGAAAUUUCGAGUUUGAAAAACAAUGGAAGUAAGAAA
This 2937-nucleotide unclassified non-coding RNA is filed under the name Hevea brasiliensis (rubber tree). Lineage: Eukaryota; Viridiplantae; Streptophyta; Magnoliopsida; Malpighiales; Euphorbiaceae. The record is from RNAcentral.